This 494-nucleotide ribosomal RNA is filed under the name uncultured bacterium. RNAcentral describes it as "partial 16S ribosomal RNA". It matches the Rfam family "Bacterial small subunit ribosomal RNA", at positions 28 to 507 of the family's 1533-position model. The record is from RNAcentral.
GACGAACGCUGGCGGCGUGCUUAACACAUGCAAGUCGAACGGAAAGGCCUGCUUUCCCUUGUGGAUUGCGGGUACUCGAGUGGCGAACGGGUGAGUAACACGUGAGUGAUCUGCCCCCAACUUGGGUAUAAGCCUGGGAAACUGGGUCUAAUUCCCGAUAGGACUGCAGGGUGGUGCCUGUGGUGGAAAACGAUUUUCUAGUGGUUGGGGAUGUGCUCGCGGCCUAUCAGCUUGUUGGUGGGGUAAUGGCCGCCCAAGGCGGCGCCGGGUAGCCGGCCUGGGAGGGUGGGCGGGCAAGUUGGGACUGAGAUACGGGCCAGGAUCCUACGGGAGGAAGCAGAGGGGAAUAAUGCACGAUGAGCGGAAGCCUGAGGCAGCGAGGCCGAGUGGGGGAUGACGGCCUUCGGGUUGUAAACUCCUUGCGACCGAGAGGAAGCCACCUGGUUGGAAGGGUGGUGACGGUAGUGGUAGAAGAAGCACCGGCUAACUACGUG